AAUCCAUGGUGAAUGCAGUCACGUUCAUACUCUUUAAAACGCUCCUAGGCUUCAUAGAAAAAAUCAGCCGGUCCUUGCUGAAAACUUGAGAUCUUGGUUAUCAGCAA
Eutrema salsugineum is the source of this 107-nucleotide small nucleolar RNA. It matches the Rfam family "Plant small nucleolar RNA R71". From Rfam's summary of the family: R71 is a member of the C/D box family of snoRNAs containing the C (UGAUGA) and D (CUGA) box motifs. Multiple nearly identical copies of this snoRNA have been identified in Arabidopsis, and it is thought to function as a 2'-O-ribose methylation guide for 18S ribosomal RNA. The record is from Rfam. NCBI's taxonomy places the organism in Eukaryota, Viridiplantae, Streptophyta, Magnoliopsida, Brassicales, Brassicaceae.